RNAcentral lists this transfer RNA (73 nucleotides) under Mesoscincus schwartzei. Its description in RNAcentral is "tRNA-Ile". It matches the Rfam family "tRNA". From Rfam's summary of the family: Transfer RNA (tRNA) molecules are approximately 80 nucleotides in length. Their secondary structure includes four short double-helical elements and three loops (D, anti-codon, and T loops). The record is from RNAcentral. Lineage: Eukaryota; Metazoa; Chordata; Lepidosauria; Squamata; Scincidae.
GGAAAUGUGCCCGAACACCUAAAGGAUUACUUUGAUAGAGUACAACACAGGGGUUAAAACCCCCUCAUUUCCU